Neofelis nebulosa (Clouded leopard) is the source of this 863-nucleotide long non-coding RNA. RefSeq lists it as uncharacterized. NCBI's taxonomy places the organism in Eukaryota, Metazoa, Chordata, Mammalia, Carnivora, Felidae. The record is from RefSeq and is a predicted model, not a curated record. The transcript has 4 exons.
CUUGCUUGGAAUGCCAAGAACAAAAUUCCUUUUUUGGACAGAAUACAAGCCUUCCCUCAGGCCUUCUUCCUCAUGUUCCCCAUUCCUUCCAGGUCCUGGACAUCUAGGUCUGGGAUUCCUGCAACUCCAACCAACUGGUGAAGGAUUUAGAGUUCAAGGCAUCAGUUUUGAAAAAUCCAGGGUGGUUCAAGCUUUAAUGGCCUGAACAGGAAAUAAGUACUGAUUUUUUAACUGAGCCUGCAUAAACUACUCUAAAGGGAUGACUUUGUCAGUGAGAGACCUAAUUCUUUAUGAUCCUCCAGAGCAGGGCUCUGUGAAAGCAGGAACUGUGUGUCUUCAGCUUGCUGGGCACCUACAACUAGAACAGGAGUACGGCAAAUGUUCAACAAAUAUUCAUUGAAUCACUACAGAGGACCUAAGAAUAAUAACUAUAUUCAACAAGGGCACACUGGGAUAACAAGUCAUGUUACAGCUGAGGCCAAAGGAAGGGCACAGUUACCAGUCAAGCUGCAGAAUAGCCUCAUCUGGACUGAAGUAAAACUAUUUAGGAUGGAAAUAGUUGUAAUACCAACACAGGUGCAUUUUAACACAAAGAAAGUAUUUAAAAUUUAAUACGAUGGAAAUUAAUUAGAGGAGUUUUCAAGGAGAUUUUAAAAAGGGAGCAUGAUCUAUAUAGAUAAUUUGAUGUCACACUGUGAGAAGCUCAUUAAAUACAAAAUGGUAACUAAAUAAUAGUUUGAAAGCAAAAUGAGCAAAAAGGUUCUGUGAAUGAAGGAUGGAGAAUUGGAAAAUCAUAUGCUAAUCCUUUAAAUUCCAGUUACUUUUAUGCUUAAUUUAUACUCAGAACUACCCAGGGAUUAAUA